Long non-coding RNA from Anthonomus grandis grandis, 788 nucleotides. RefSeq lists it as uncharacterized. The record is from RefSeq and is a predicted model, not a curated record. NCBI's taxonomy places the organism in Eukaryota, Metazoa, Arthropoda, Insecta, Coleoptera, Curculionidae. The transcript is spliced from 4 exons.
UGUUGUUGUAUUGUUUGGUUAGUUUCGCAUAAUACGCGCGAAAAGGGCAUGGUAUAGUAGAACGAAAUUUAAUUGGAGCUAUACUGCCGUGUUAAGAAUAAAGCGGCCCACUCACGAGCGAGCAUCGAGCGAGCCUAACAUGUUGUUGCGGUGGCCACACACAAUUGCAAAUUUUGAUCGAACAUCAGUUUAACAAGUGCGCACAUUCAGUCGAAGUCGGCCCAUUGUACCUAGCAUGGAAUUGUUAUCGAAGCGACAGAAGCUGGCAAUUGCAAUAGGCCUCACAAUAAUAUCUGAGAAAAAGAAAAAUAAAAUAAGAGUGGCUUUUAAACCGGACAAAGUACUCGCACAUGAAUUUGUUGCAAGAACUUAAAUCUUUCUUUAGAGGUGUUUUUUUACCUAUUUUUUUAGUUUUCACAAUCAGCCGUAACUAAAAGAAGCUCAUAAUACCAAAGAGAAGGUUCAUAUACAUCAUCAGGUGAGGUCCCCGUUCCUUUUGACUUGAUUACUUUUCUGAGUUCUCUUCGAAACGAUGCCCUAGCAAAACACCGUCCGAACGUUUUUCGUGGCAUAAGUCAAAAUAGGAAGGACACUCUUAUAAAAUGACUUGGUGGAAUUAUUCCCACUACCAGAAUGAAUUUUUGGAAUAAUUUGCCAGUAUCCGAACAUCCUGUGAAUGAAGAUGAAUAAAUUAUUAAUCAUAAUCAAAAUUUCAGUUGACAUAAUAUUGCUGUGUAUUUAUUGGAUAAGUUAAAGUGUUCGUUUUAGUUACAAAUACAAAUAUUAUU